GGGUUGUGAGGUUAAGCGACUAAGCGUACACGGUGGAUGCCUAGGCAGUCAGAGGCGAUGAAGGGCGUGCUAAUCUGCGAAAAGCGUCGGUAAGCUGAUAUGAAGCGUUAUAACCGACGAUACCCGAAUGGGGAAACCCAGUGCAAUACGUUGCACUAUCGUUAGAUGAAUACAUAGUCUAACGAGGCGAACCGGGGGAACUGAAACAUCUAAGUACCCCGAGGAAAAGAAAUCAACCGAGAUUCCCCCAGUAGCGGCGAGCGAACGGGGAGGAGCCCAGAGUCUGAAUCAGUUUGUGUGUUAGUGGAAGCGUCUGGAAAGUCGCACGGUACAGGGUGAUAGUCCCGUACACCAAAAUGCACAGGCUGUGAACUCGAUGAGUAGGGCGGGACACGUGACAUCCUGUCUGAAUAUGGGGGGACCAUCCUCCAAGGCUAAAUACUCCUGACUGACCGAUAGUGAACCAGUACCGUGAGGGAAAGGCGAAAAGAACCCCGGCGAGGGGAGUGAAAUAGAACCUGAAACCGUGUACGUACAAGCAGUGGGAGCACCUUCGUGGUGUGACUGCGUACCUUUUGUAUAAUGGGUCAGCGACUUAUAUUUUGUAGCAAGGUUAACCGAAUAGGGGAGCCGUAGGGAAACCGAGUCUUAACUGGGCGUCUAGUUGCAAGGUAUAGACCCGAAACCCGGUGAUCUAGCCAUGGGCAGGUUGAAGGUUGGGUAACACUAACUGGAGGACCGAACCGACUAAUGUUGAAAAAUUAGCGGAUGACUUGUGGCUGGGGGUGAAAGGCCAAUCAAACCGGGAGAUAGCUGGUUCUCCCCGAAAGCUAUUUAGGUAGCGCCUCGUGAACUCAUCUUCGGGGGUAGAGCACUGUUUCGGCUAGGGGGCCAUCCCGGCUUACCAAACCGAUGCAAACUCCGAAUACCGAAGAAUGUUAUCACGGGAGACACACGGCGGGUGCUAACGUCCGUCGUGAAGAGGGAAACAACCCAGACCGCCAGCUAAGGUCCCAAAGUCAUGGUUAAGUGGGAAACGAUGUGGGAAGGCACAGACAGCCAGGAUGUUGGCUUAGAAGCAGCCAUCAUUUAAAGAAAGCGUAAUAGCUCACUGGUCGAGUCGGCCUGCGCGGAAGAUGUAACGGGGCUAAACCAUGCACCGAAGCUGCGGCAGCGACACUUAGGUGUUGUUGGGUAGGGGAGCGUUCUGUAAGCCGUUGAAGGUGACCUGUGAGGGUUGCUGGAGGUAUCAGAAGUGCGAAUGCUGACAUAAGUAACGAUAAUGCGGGUGAAAAACCCGCACGCCGGAAGACCAAGGGUUCCUGUCCAACGUUAAUCGGGGCAGGGUGAGUCGACCCCUAAGGCGAGGCUGAAAAGCGUAGUCGAUGGGAAACAGGUUAAUAUUCCUGUACUUGGUGUUACUGCGAAGGGGGGACGGAGAAGGCUAGGCUGGCCGGGCGACGGUUGUCCCGGUUUAAGCGUGUAGGGGGAGUGACCAGGUAAAUCCGGUUGCUUAUCAACCCUGAGGCGUGAUGACGAUGCACCACGGUGCAGAAGCAGUUGAUGCCAUGCUUCCAGGAAAAGCCUCUAAGCAUCAGGUAACAUUAAAUCGUACCCCAAACCGACACAGGUGGUCAGGUAGAGAAUACUCAGGCGCUUGAGAGAACUCGGGUGAAGGAACUAGGCAAAAUGGUGCCGUAACUUCGGGAGAAGGCACGCUGGCGUUAGGUGAAAGGACUAGCUCCUGGAGCUGAAGCCAGUCGCAGAUACCAGCUGGCUGCAACUGUUUAAUAAAAACACAGCACUGUGCAAACACGAAAGUGGACGUAUA
Molecule: ribosomal RNA, 1831 nt
Filed under: Yersinia pestis
Lineage: Bacteria; Pseudomonadati; Pseudomonadota; Gammaproteobacteria; Enterobacterales; Yersiniaceae
Description: bacterial LSU rRNA
Rfam family: Bacterial large subunit ribosomal RNA
Source: RNAcentral